This 236-nucleotide long non-coding RNA is filed under the name Fukomys damarensis (Damara mole-rat). RNAcentral's name for it is "lncRNA (ENSFDAG00000027930.1)". The record is from RNAcentral. Lineage: Eukaryota; Metazoa; Chordata; Mammalia; Rodentia; Bathyergidae.
GCUGUAGUCACUUUUCUUGCAACAAUGAGAUGUCACAAUACCUGAGGAAAAUCUUGGGAGCAUUGUGAUGUAGCAUUAUACCACUACAUAAAGGUUCGCUAAACCCUCAAUGGUUGACCUGAAAUAUGAGAAAAUAACAAAGUGCCCAGGCAGCGAUCAUUUCAUUAAGGGAAAGAUGACUUCAGAGAGGAAGGAAAGAGAAAGUUAAUAAUCCUGAAGUAUGAGGCAAAGAUGAG